ACUCCUACGGGAGGCAGCAGUGGGGAAUAUUGGACAAUGGGCGCAAGCCUGAUCCAGCCAUGCCGCGUGAGUGAUGAAGGCCCUAGGGUUGUAAAGCUCUUUCACCGGUGAAGAUAAUGACGGUAACCGGAGAAGAAGCCCCGGCUAACUUCGUGCCAGCAGCCGCGGUAAUACGAAGGGGGCUAGCGUUGUUCGGAUUUACUGGGCGUAAAGCGCACGUAGGCGGACUAUUAAGUCAGGGGUGAAAUCCCGGGGCUCAACCCCGGAACUGCCUUUGAUACUGGUAGUCUUGAGUUCGAGAAAGGUGAGUGGAAUUCCGAGUGUAGAGGUGAAAUUCGUAGAUAUUCGGAGGAACACCAGUGGCGAAGGCGGCUCACUGGCUCGAUACUGACGCUGAGGUGCGAAAGCGUGGGGAGCAAACAGGAUUAGAAACCCCAGUAGUCCCAUGAU
RNAcentral lists this ribosomal RNA (450 nucleotides) under uncultured organism. RNAcentral's name for it is "partial 16S ribosomal RNA". It matches the Rfam family "Bacterial small subunit ribosomal RNA", at positions 335 to 801 of the family's 1533-position model. The record is from RNAcentral.